RNAcentral lists this ribosomal RNA (414 nucleotides) under uncultured bacterium. RNAcentral's name for it is "bacterial SSU rRNA". It matches the Rfam family "Bacterial small subunit ribosomal RNA", at positions 356 to 773 of the family's 1533-position model. The record is from RNAcentral.
GGGGAAUAUUGCACAAUGGGCGCAAGCCUGAUGCAGCAACGCCGCGUGAGUGAAGAAGUAUUUCGGUAUGUAAAGCUCUAUCGGCAGGGAAGAAAGGCCCGAAAGGGAGAUGACGGUACCUGACUAAGAAGCCCCGGCUAACUACGUGCCAGCAGCCGCGGUAAUACGUAGGGGGCAAGCGUUAUCCGGAUUUACUGGGUGUAAAGGGAGCGCAGACGGCAGUGCAAGUCUGAUGUGAAAGCCCGGGGCUCAACCCCGGAACUGCAUUGGAAACUGUACAGCUUGAGUGUCGGAGAGGUAAGCGGAAUUCCUAGUGUAGCGGUGAAAUGCGUAGAUAUUAGGAGGAACACCGGUGGCGAAGGCGGCUUACUGGACGAUUACUGACGUUGAGGCUCGAAAGCGUGGGGAGCAAAC